GGGGCAGUUUCAGUUUCGAUUGCGACGGGGAGACGUUCGUAAGCAUACCAAAGGCUCGGCUUUGUAAAAACGGAAACUUAAAUUUAAAUGCAGAAUCCAAGAAUUCUAACAAAGUAAUGGCUUUCCCUGCUCGUCAGGCUAGCCUUGCUUGCGCAGCUUAACUAAGCUGUCCGUCGCUGUAACCUGUGCCGCUCGGGUUAUAGUUGGCGCUAAUCUAAGCGGAACUUUUAUCUCGGCUUAACCGCGCUGCGUUAAAAGUAUUUGGCGGUUUGCCCGUGCGCGUUGCCCGUUUAUCGGCGCGUGUGCGGAAAGAUUAAUUGGUAAACUAAGUAUGUAGAAAGCGCGUCCGAACGCCGUAAGACCGGGGUGCAAGUCCCCGCUGCUCCACCA
Molecule: transfer-messenger RNA, 390 nt
Filed under: Clostridia bacterium
Lineage: Bacteria; Bacillati; Bacillota; Clostridia
Rfam family: transfer-messenger RNA
About the family: Bacterial tmRNA, also known as 10Sa RNA or SsrA, is named for its dual tRNA and mRNA-like properties.
Source: RNAcentral